AGAGUUUGAUCCUGGCUCAGAGUGAACGCUGGCGGUAGGCCUAACACAUGCAAGUCGAACGGCAGCACAGUAAGAGCUUGCUCUUACGGGUGGCGAGUGGCGGACGGGUGAGGAAUACAUCGGAAUCUACUUUUUCGUGGGGGAUAACGUAGGGAAACUUACGCUAAUACCGCAUACGACCUACGGGUGAAAGCAGGGGAUCUUCGGACCUUGCGCGAUUGAAUGAGCCGAUGUCGGAUUAGCUAGUUGGCGGGGUAAAGGCCCACCAAGGCGACGAUCCGUAGCUGGUCUGAGAGGAUGAUCAGCCACACUGGAACUGAGACACGGUCCAGACUCCUACGGGAGGCAGCAGUGGGGAAUAUUGGACAAUGGGCGCAAGCCUGAUCCAGCCAUACCGCGUGGGUGAAGAAGGCCUUCGGGUUGUAAAGCCCUUUUGUUGGGAAAGAAAUCCAGCUGGUUAAUACCCGGUUGGGAUGACGGUACCCAAAGAAUAAGCACCGGCUAACUUCGUGCCAGCAGCCGCGGUAAUACGAAGGGUGCAAGCGUUACUCGGAAUUACUGGGCGUAAAGCGUGCGUAGGUGGUUGUUUAAGUCUGUUGUGAAAGCCCUGGGCUCAACCUGGGAACUGCAGUG
Molecule: ribosomal RNA, 633 nt
Filed under: uncultured bacterium
Lineage: Bacteria
Description: bacterial SSU rRNA
Rfam family: Bacterial small subunit ribosomal RNA
Source: RNAcentral